GCCAGGCGUGGUGGUGCAUCCUGUAAUCCCAACUACUUGGGAGGCUGAGGCAGGAGAAUCACUUGAACCCAGGAGGCAGAGGCUGCAGUGAGCUGAGAUCAGCCACUGCACUCCAGCCUGGGCAACAGAGUGAGACUCUGUCUCAA
Papio anubis (olive baboon) is the source of this 146-nucleotide unclassified non-coding RNA. It matches the Rfam family "Metazoan signal recognition particle RNA". Rfam says of the family: The signal recognition particle (SRP) is a universally conserved ribonucleoprotein. It is involved in the co-translational targeting of proteins to membranes. The record is from Ensembl. Lineage: Eukaryota; Metazoa; Chordata; Mammalia; Primates; Cercopithecidae.